CAAAGACACAAUAAGGAUUGACAGAUUGAGAGCUCUUUCUUGAUUUUGUGGGUGGUGGUGCAUGGCCGUUCUUAGUUGGUGGAGUGAUUUGUCUGCUUAAUUGCGAUAACGAACGAGACCUUAACCUCUAAUUAGCGCCGCUAGCCUUGUGCUGGCGCGCGCUUCUUAGGGGGACUAUUGACUUGAAGUCGAUGGAAGUUUGAGACUCUCAGCUUGACAUUUGCUACACUG
RNAcentral lists this non-coding RNA (231 nucleotides) under Clavispora lusitaniae ATCC 42720. Its description in RNAcentral is "Eukaryotic small subunit ribosomal RNA". It matches the Rfam family "Eukaryotic small subunit ribosomal RNA", at positions 1225 to 1474 of the family's 1831-position model. The record is from Rfam by way of RNAcentral. Lineage: Eukaryota; Fungi; Ascomycota; Pichiomycetes; Serinales; Metschnikowiaceae.